RNAcentral lists this long non-coding RNA (457 nucleotides) under Mus musculus (house mouse). RNAcentral's name for it is "predicted gene 9939". The record is from RNAcentral. Lineage: Eukaryota; Metazoa; Chordata; Mammalia; Rodentia; Muridae.
GUUGUGGUGAGCCACUACCUGUCUGAGAAACUUCUGCCUUCCUUCACUUUCUGCGGGAUUGCUUCGGUCGGCUUCAGUCUUCCCUCGGGUACCCGUCAGUCUGCGGUGUCUCCCUUCAGAAGAAGCUAUUAAAGUAUUACAGACACUUUGAAAAGAGCAGUUCAAAAAUCUGUCCUGUCUCUGCUCCUUGGCGUUCGUGGCAAUCGGCUGCACAAACUCUCAUAGUCUGGUGAGAGUUUUCCCUGCUUCAGCAGAAGGUAUGGCCCAGAUGUGUGUACCACCAUGCCUGGAUUUGGAGCUCACAGUCCCAAGCUGGCCUUGAAAUCAGAUCUCCUUGCCUCAGUCUCCUGGGAUUAAAGCAACUCCUGUCUGGGCCUAAGCUUUGCAUGGUCACUGUGCCUCAAGAUCUGAAUCAAAAGUGUGUGUCAUCUCCUGUCAGAGCUUGUGCCAUCCACUC